This 897-nucleotide ribosomal RNA is filed under the name Bacillus safensis. Its description in RNAcentral is "bacterial SSU rRNA". It matches the Rfam family "Bacterial small subunit ribosomal RNA", at positions 61 to 939 of the family's 1533-position model. The record is from RNAcentral. Lineage: Bacteria; Bacillati; Bacillota; Bacilli; Caryophanales; Bacillaceae.
GUCGAGCGGACAGAAGGGAGCUUGCUCCCGGAUGUUAGCGGCGGACGGGUGAGUAACACGUGGGUAACCUGCCUGUAAGACUGGGAUAACUCCGGGAAACCGGAGCUAAUACCGGAUAGUUCCUUGAACCGCAUGGUUCAAGGAUGAAAGACGGUUUCGGCUGUCACUUACAGAUGGACCCGCGGCGCAUUAGCUAGUUGGUGGGGUAAUGGCUCACCAAGGCGACGAUGCGUAGCCGACCUGAGAGGGUGAUCGGCCACACUGGGACUGAGACACGGCCCAGACUCCUACGGGAGGCAGCAGUAGGGAAUCUUCCGCAAUGGACGAAAGUCUGACGGAGCAACGCCGCGUGAGUGAUGAAGGUUUUCGGAUCGUAAAGCUCUGUUGUUAGGGAAGAACAAGUGCGAGAGUAACUGCUCGCACCUUGACGGUACCUAACCAGAAAGCCACGGCUAACUACGUGCCAGCAGCCGCGGUAAUACGUAGGUGGCAAGCGUUGUCCGGAAUUAUUGGGCGUAAAGGGCUCGCAGGCGGUUUCUUAAGUCUGAUGUGAAAGCCCCCGGCUCAACCGGGGAGGGUCAUUGGAAACUGGGAAACUUGAGUGCAGAAGAGGAGAGUGGAAUUCCACGUGUAGCGGUGAAAUGCGUAGAGAUGUGGAGGAACACCAGUGGCGAAGGCGACUCUCUGGUCUGUAACUGACGCUGAGGAGCGAAAGCGUGGGGAGCGAACAGGAUUAGAUACCCUGGUAGUCCACGCCGUAAACGAUGAGUGCUAAGUGUUAGGGGGGUUUCCGCCCCUUAGUGCUGCAGCUAACGCAUUAAGCACUCCGCCUGGGGAGUACGGUCGCAAGACUGAAACUCAAAGGAAUUGACGGGGGCCCGCACAAGCGGUGGAGCA